UGGGGAAUUUUGGACAAUGGGCGAAAGCCUGAUCCAGCAAUGCCGCGUGUGUGAAGAAGGCCUUCGGGUUGUAAAGCACUUUUGUCCGGAAAGAAAUCCUUGGCUCUAAUACAGUCGGGGGAUGACGGUACCGGAAGAAUAAGCACCGGCUAACUACGUGCCAGCAGCCGCGGUAAUACGUAGGGUGCAAGCGUUAAUCGGAAUUACUGGGCGUAAAGCGUGCGCAGGCGGUUUGCUAAGACCGAUGUGAAAUCCCCGGGCUCAACCUGGGAACUGCAUUGGUGACUGGCAGGCUAGAGUAUGGCAGAGGGGGGUAGAAUUCCACGUGUAGCAGUGAAAUGCGUAGAGAUGUGGAGGAAUACCGAUGGCGAAGGCAGCCCCCUGGGCCAAUACUGACGCUCAUGCACGAAAGCGUGGGGAGCAAACAGGAUUAGAUACCCUGGUAGUCCACGCCCUAAACGAUGUCAACUAGUUGUUGGGGAUUCAUUUCCUUAGUAACGUAGCUAACGCGUAAAGUUGACCGCCUGGGGAGUACGGUCGCAAGAUUAAAACUCAAAUGAAUUGACGGGGUCAUAGCUGUUUCCU
RNAcentral lists this ribosomal RNA (585 nucleotides) under uncultured bacterium. RNAcentral's name for it is "partial 16S ribosomal RNA". It matches the Rfam family "Bacterial small subunit ribosomal RNA", at positions 355 to 1375 of the family's 1533-position model. The record is from RNAcentral.